GACGGAGGAGGCUAGCGUUGUUCGGAAUUACUGGGCGUAAAGCGCACGCAGGUGGCGGUUCAAGUCGGAUGUGAAAGCCCGGGGCUCAACCCCGGAUGUGCAUCCGAUACUGGAUUGCUAGAGUCCGAAAGAGGAGAGUGGAAUUCCCAGUGUAGAGGUGAAAUUCGUAGAUAUUGGGAAGAACACCGGUGGCGAAGGCGACUCUCUGGUUCGGUACUGACACUCAAGUGCGAAAGCGUGGGGAGCAAACAGGAUUAGAUACCCUGGUAGUCCACGCCGUAAACGAUGCGCGCUAGAUGUCGGGGGGCUUGCCCUUCGGUGUCGCAGCUAACGCGGUAAGCGCGCCGCCUGGGGAGUACGGCCGCAAGGUUA
Molecule: ribosomal RNA, 372 nt
Filed under: uncultured prokaryote
Description: bacterial SSU rRNA
Rfam family: Bacterial small subunit ribosomal RNA
Source: RNAcentral